Cyprinodon tularosa is the source of this 1262-nucleotide long non-coding RNA. RefSeq lists it as uncharacterized. The record is from RefSeq and is a predicted model, not a curated record. Lineage: Eukaryota; Metazoa; Chordata; Actinopteri; Cyprinodontiformes; Cyprinodontidae. The transcript is spliced from 4 exons.
ACAGAACUUUCCACAGUAUCCUGAUGUCAAUGAGAGUGUGUUCCCUGCAUUUUCAUUCUGGAAAACCAGCAAAUGAAAUGUACACCUCGCAUCCGGAUUGGGCACCAUCACUACACUUGGGCCACACUGAGAUAAAGGCCACACAGACUGCACGCUAUGAGAGACAGGAAAAGAGAAAACGGCAAAGGACUGACAGUACACCUGCGAUGGAUGAGACAGCUAUUGAUGACCUUGUUCCGCCCGUGGAGACACCAGCACCAGCUGAGGAUGGAGCUGAGCAGACAGCGCCGGCGUGCUGAAAUCAACCGGCUGCUGGAGGAGAACAGGACCCUGAAACGUCUUGCACUCUCAGCGCAUUAAUGAGACUCCCCUGAAGCCAUGGGUCAUCAUUGCUGACGAUGGGCAGGUUUGCUGUGCACACUGUACAUGCAUGGCUGGAAUUGCAGAGGCAUGUACACAUGUUGGGGCUCUGCUGUUUAUGAUUGAGGCAGCAGUCCGCAUCCGUGGGAAAAAGACUGUGACAGAUGUGCCAGCUUAUUGGAAAAUACCAGCAGGUAUCAACAAAGUCAGCGGUGAAGUCGCCCACAAGAUGGACUUCACUUCAUCCAAAGCGCAGAGGAUUGCUCUGGACAGAGUCAUCGAUGACAACAUUCCCAUGCCUGGCCUACGGACACGGGCCAGCAGACGCACUGCCCAAGCCACAUUGGACGACUUAUCGUCAAUGUUCCCUGUUCUUCAGAACCAUAGGUCAGUUUGUAUGUCCACAGUGAAGCCCUACUUUCACAACUAUGCUGCUCCUGUCCAGCCAGCUGUGAUCCCAAAACCCCUGCAAGACCGUCUGCGCGACCCAAAGUUUGAAAAUGCUCCACCAGCUGUCCUUCUCCAGCACUGUGAGACAGUGAAAGACAUUGCAGCUGCAUAUUAUUGCACGUCGUUAUAUUACAAUACAAUUAUAGAUUAUAUUAUUGUAUAUCAUGACAUAUUGCAUCGCAGCCUUUAUUUAUACAAUUUAAGAAAUGCAUAUUGUUAAAAGUAAUUAUAUAAGACAUUGCACUAACAUUGUUUUUUAAUGUGUACUAUAGUACCGGUAAUAAUUUGCACUACUUCAAAUGUUAUUGAUAUCUGUUAUUACUUAAUUUGAUCUACCUCCAAUUUUUAUGUUUGUAAUUGAUGUUUCAUAAAUACGUAUUUUUUAUUACUUUGGAAUUUUUUUUAUACAUAGACAUUUUUUAUAAAAAGCAUAGUAUUUUGUAUUAUUACAU